AGUCUGUGAGGUAGCAUCUGUGAGGUGGCAUCUGUGUCUGUGUAAGGUGGCAUCUGUGAGGUGGCAUCUAUGAGGUGGCAUCUGUGAGGUGGUGUCUGUGAGGUGGCAUCUGUGAGGUGAUGUCUGUGUCUGUGAGGUAGCAUCUGUGAGGUGAUGUCUGUGUCUGUGAGGUGGCAUCUGGGAGGUGAUGUCUAUGUCUGUGAGGUGGCAUCUGUGAGGUAUCUGUGUCUAUGAGGUGAUGUCUGUGUCUGUGUGGCGGUGUCUGUGAGGUGAUGUCUGUGAGGUGGCAUCUGUGUCUGUGAGGUGAUGUCUGUGAGGUGGCAUCUGUGUCUGUGAGGUGGUGUCUGUGUCUGUGAGGUGGCAUCUGUGAGGUGGUGUCUUGUCAGGUGAUGGCUGUGUCUGUGUCUGUGUGGUGGUGUCUGUGAGGUGAUGUCUGUGAGGUGAUGUCUGUGUCUCUGAGGUGGCAUCUGUGAGGUGGUGUCUUGUCAGGUGAUGGCUGCGUCUGUGUGGUAGUGUCUGUAAGGUAGCAUCUGUGUCUGUGAGGUGGCAUCUGUGAAGUGGCAUCUGGUGUGUGAGGUGGCAUUCGUGAGGUGGUGUCUGUAUCUAUGAGGUGGUAUCUGUGAGGUGGUGUCUGUGAGGGUGUCCGUGAGGGUGUCUGUGAGGUGGCAUCUGUGAGGUGGUGUCUGUGUCUGUGAGGUGGGGUCUAUGAGGUGGCAUCUGUGAGGUAGCUCAGCAGAUAAAGGCACUUGCCAAUGAGCUGAAUUCAAUCCCAGGACCCAUACAGUACAAGGAGAGAACAAAUUCUUGCAAGUGGUUUUGAAAACUCAAAGCCCACUCCCAAUGACACACCUCCUCCAACAAGACCACACCUUCUAAUCCUUCUCAAGCAGUUCCACUAACUGGGACCAAGCGUUCAAACAUUCGAGCCUAUGGGGACCAUUCUCAUUCAAACCACCAUACUUGUUAAAUAAAUAAAUAGAGAUAGAUAGAUAGAUAGGUAGAUAGAUAGAUUAUAAAUGUUUUUUUAAUAAGUGUGCUUUUUAGGAAGAAACAGAUCAUUGGCUUGGUAAAAGAAAGCAAUAAGGCUAACUAAAAUGUUAAACCUCACAAAGUCUCUAAAUUACUCCCCAGCACACAAAGAAAACUUCCCUAGUUUCCUUUCUUUUUUAUGUAUGCAUGUAUGUAUGUAUGUAUGUAUGUAUGUAUGUAUGUAUGUAUGUGUAUUAAAUCAUUUUAUUUGUUUACAUUUCAAAUGUUAUCCCUCUUCCAGGUUUCCCCUCCACAAACCCCCCACCCCGUCCCCUUCCCCUUUGCCUCUACAAAGGUGCUUUCCCAACCAACCACCCACUCCUGCCUCACCCCUCUAGCAUUCCCCUUCUCUAGGGUAUCAGGUUUCCAUAGGACCAAGUGCCUCUCCUCCCACUGAUGACAGAUGAGGCAGUGCUCUGCUACAUAUGUAGGGGGAGCCAUGAACCCGCCCAUGUAGACCCUUUGGUUGGUAGUUUAGUCCCUGGAGCUCUGAGGGUAUGUUAGUUGUUUUUCCUAUGCAGUUGCAAUCCCCUUCGGCUCCUUCAGUCCUUCCCCUAGUUCUACCAUUGGGGUCUCUGGGCUCAGCCCAACGGUUGAAAAUGAGUAUCUGCAUCUUUCUUGGUUGGGUGCUGACAGGGCCAAUCAGAAGAGAGCCAUACCAGACUCCUGUCUGUAAGCGCAUCUUGGCAUCAGCAAUAGUGUCAGGGUUUGGUGUCUAUGGAUGGAAUAGAUUGGAAGGUGGGGCUUAUGGGGACUGGAGAGAUAGUUCAGUGUGAGCACUGGCUGCUCUUCCAGAGGACCUGAGUUCCUGGAAACCACAUGAUGGCUCACAAACAUCUGUAAUGGGAUCUGAUGCCCUCUUCUUGAUGCCCUCUGCUGGCAUAUGGGUAUACAGGCAGACAGAGCACUGACAUUAAAUAAAUAAAUAAAUAAAUAAAUAAAUAAAUAAAUAAAUAAAUAAAUAAUCUUUUUAAAAAAAUAUUAUGUGGGGGCUGGAGAGACGGCUCAGCAGUUAAGAGCACUGACUGCUCUUCCAGAGGUCCUGAGUUCAAUUCCCAGCAACCACAUGGUGGCUCACAACCAUCUGUAAAGAGAUCUGAUGCCCUCUUCUGGUGUAUCUGAAGAUAGCUACAGUGUACUUAUACAUAAUAAAUGAAUAAAUCUUUCUAAAAAAUUAAAAAAAAUUAUGUGUAUGGGUAUUUUGGCCUGCUGGUACGUUGGUGCUUCCUGUGUGAGCCUGGUGCCAGAAGACCUUGGUUGGUUUCCUGGAACUGGAGUAACAAAUGGUGUGAGUGGUGUGAGGAUGCUGGGAAUCCAACCCUGGUGCUUUGGAAAAGCAGCUAGCUCUCUUCACUGCUAAGCCAUCUUUCCAGCCCCUUAAUUCUGUUUAGGAAACAAGGAUGGUACUGGAGAGAUGGCUCAGUGGUCAAGAGCACUGACUGUUCUUCUAGAGGUCCUGAGUUCAAAUCCCAGCAACCACAUGGUGGCUCACAACCAUCUGUAAUGAGAUCUGAUACCCUUUUCUGGUGUGUCUGAAGACAGCAACAGUGUACUUAAUAAAUCUUUUUUAAAAAUAAAAGAAAACAGGAAUGAAUAACAUCAGUACUUUGACCUGAUACAAACUGUGCAAUAAAAACUAAAGCUGUAAAUCAAGAGUGUAUGCAUUUUUUGACAAAAUUUCAAAAUGAUAACUUUGUGCUUUGCUAAAUCGAAGAAUCUGCUGGACUUCAGGCUCCUAGGAGUGGUGCUUUGGGUUAGUUAAUAGUUUCAGUUUCCUCUGAGAUUAAAACAGUUCACACUGCUGGGAAACUCUUUAAACAAGAAGGUAAACAAAUUCAAAUAGCUUCAGGAAGUUCCUGAAACCAACCACGUUCACUAGGCCCCUCCCUCCCAGAGUAAGCAGAGCCAAGCUGCACAAGAAGACUGUCAGAGAGCUGAGCUGCCAAGAAGACUCAGACUGGACCAGCUGCCCAGACGAAGCAAAAACUAGCCAAGCUGGCUGGAAGAGGUUUAGACCAGUUUGUGAGCCGUCAGCCAUGCUGAGUGCGUUUUGGUGAUGCAGCUGUCUUUGGUUACUUCUGCUCCUGUAAGUAACACCAAUAAAACUCCAUAUUGGACUUUUGUGUGUCUAUCUGAGAGAUCCAGCUGCCUCUGCCUCCCCAGUACGUGGGACACCACCACCCAUCCCAAGAGUAUUUCUCUUAAGAUUAGAAGCUGCCACCUGGAAGUUCUUCUGGAAGCAUAGCAAUGCAGUCCAUCAAGAGAUAACAGCUGUGCAGCUAAGACGUGCAAAGACACUAACGUGUCCGACAAGAUCACGGAUCUGUAAAAAAAUCUAGAUGACAAUCCAUAAACUGACUCAAGCAAGAAAAUGAGUCAGCAGCUUAGCGGGCAACAUGCUACAAUAAACACACCGGCAUCUUUAUGCUACAGAGUAGCCAGCUAGAUGAUCCAUUUACAAUGGCAACAGAGAAGAUGAACUAUCUCGGGGCAAAUGAGAUCCAGAAACACACAGAGCCACCAUGAGGAAAACAUUUUGAAAACUCAAAAAGAGCUCAUUAGCAUGGGAUAUGAGGAUGACGUCAUUUUCCUUCCAUACCAUGACUGGAGGCAGAAAGCUGUGACUCUUCCCAAGUUACUUUAUUAAAGAGGCUUUUUGUUUA
Non-coding RNA from Rattus norvegicus (Norway rat), 3692 nucleotides. Lineage: Eukaryota; Metazoa; Chordata; Mammalia; Rodentia; Muridae. The record is from RefSeq and is a predicted model, not a curated record.